Rana temporaria (common frog) is the source of this 140-nucleotide small nucleolar RNA. RefSeq annotates it as small nucleolar RNA SNORD10. The transcript has a single exon. Lineage: Eukaryota; Metazoa; Chordata; Amphibia; Anura; Ranidae. The record is from RefSeq and is a predicted model, not a curated record.
GCUCUAAUGAUGAUAUCCCAUGCGUGUCAUCUGAAGCCCAUGUCUCCCUCUUGCGGCAGCUCUCUGGUCAGCGUCUUGCCGGCCGGAACAGUCUGCCCUAGAGGAGUCUGGGAAAUGAUCACACCAUUUUGUCUGAAAGC